This 222-nucleotide ribosomal RNA is filed under the name uncultured bacterium. RNAcentral describes it as "partial 16S ribosomal RNA". It matches the Rfam family "Bacterial small subunit ribosomal RNA", at positions 524 to 744 of the family's 1533-position model. The record is from RNAcentral.
UACGUAGGGUCGCAAGCGUUAUCCGGAAUUAUUGGGCGUAAAGAGCUCGUAGGCGGUUUGUCGCGUCUGCCGUGAAAGUCCGGGGCUCAACUCCGGAUCUGCGGUGGGUACGGGCAGACUAGAGUGCAGUAGGGGAGACUGGAAUUCCUGGUGUAGCGGUGAAAUGCGCAGAUAUCAGGAGGAACACCGAUGGCGAAGGCAGGUCUCUGGGCUGUAACUGAC